RNAcentral lists this ribosomal RNA (775 nucleotides) under uncultured bacterium. RNAcentral's name for it is "bacterial SSU rRNA". It matches the Rfam family "Bacterial small subunit ribosomal RNA", at positions 54 to 842 of the family's 1533-position model. The record is from RNAcentral.
CAUGCAAGUCGAACGGAGCUUAGAGAGCUUGCUUUUUAAGCUUAGUGGCGAACGGGUGAGUAACGCGUGAGUAACCUGCCCUAGAGUGGGGGACAACAGUUGGAAACGACUGCUAAUACCGCAUAAGCCCACGGUACCGCAUGGUACUGAGGGAAAAGGAUUUAUUCGCUUUAGGAUGGACUCGCGUCCAAUUAGCUAGUUGGUGAGGUAACGGCCCACCAAGGCGACGAUUGGUAGCCGGACUGAGAGGUUGAACGGCCACAUUGGGACUGAGACACGGCCCAGACUCCUACGGGAGGCAGCAGUGGGGGAUAUUGCACAAUGGGGGAAACCCUGAUGCAGCGACGCCGCGUGGAGGAAGAAGGUUUUCGGAUUGUAAACUCCUGUCGUUAGGGACGAUAAUGACGGUACCUAACAAGAAAGCACCGGCUAACUACGUGCCAGCAGCCGCGGUAAAACGUAGGGUGCAAGCGUUGUCCGGAAUUACUGGGUGUAAAGGGAGCGCAGGCGGGAAGACAAGUUGGAAGUGAAAACCAUGGGCUCAACCCAUGAAUUGCUUUCAAAACUGUUUUUCUUGAGUAGUGCAGAGGUAGAUGGAAUUCCCGGUGUAGCGGUGGAAUGCGUAGAUAUCGGGAGGAACACCAGUGGCGAAGGCGGUCUACUGGGCACCAACUGACGCUGAGGCUCGAAAGCAUGGGUAGCAAACAGGAUUAGAUACCCUGGUAGUCCAUGCCGUAAACGAUGAUUACUAGGUGUUGGGGGAUUGACCCCCUCA